GUGGUCUCUUCGGCAGCACAUAUACUAAAGUUAGAAUGAUACAGAGACGAUCAGCAUGGCCCCUGCAUAAGGAUGACACACAAUUUUGUGAAGCAUUACACAUUUUG
This 107-nucleotide small nuclear RNA is filed under the name Castor canadensis (American beaver). Lineage: Eukaryota; Metazoa; Chordata; Mammalia; Rodentia; Castoridae. The record is from RNAcentral.